This 3591-nucleotide ribosomal RNA is filed under the name Triticum aestivum (bread wheat). RNAcentral describes it as "partial small subunit ribosomal RNA". The record is from RNAcentral. Lineage: Eukaryota; Viridiplantae; Streptophyta; Magnoliopsida; Poales; Poaceae.
CUCCCUUUUAUCCACGUCCAUCUUUUUCCUCUUCCCCUCGCGGCGGCGUCGUGGGUGGAACCCGCUCCAGGCAUUCUUCCACCGAAGAAUCCGGACGUAGUUUUCCGCGGCUAGAUUUGGCGUCGGGAGAGGAAAUUCGAUCUGAAAAUGGGGUUGUUCCGGGCCGCGUCGGGCUUAGCCCGGGUGGCGCUGCGGAGGAGCCUGUCGCGCGCUCCGGCGAGCCCGUUCGCCGGCCCCGCGCCGCGGUACUUCCACUCGACGCUCCCCCGGCGGUACGCGGCGCCUGAGCCCCGCGCCGUGCCGCUCUCGCGCCUCACCGACAGCUUCCUCGAUGGCACCAGCAGCGUGUACCUCGAGGAGCUGCAGCGGGCGUGGGAGGCGGACCCGACCUCCGUCGACGAGUCCUGGGACAACUUCUUCCGGAACUUCGUCGGGCAGGCCGCCACGUCCCCCGGCAUAUCCGGCCAGACGAUCCAGGAGAGUAUGAGGCUGCUGCUGCUCGUGCGCGCCUACCAGGUGAGCGGCCACAUGAAGGCCAAGCUCGAUCCUCUUGGACUGGAGCAGCGCGCGGUUCCGGAUGUCCUGGACCCGGCGUUCUACGGCUUCUCUGAGUCUGAUUUGGAUCGGGAGUUCUUCCUCGGGGUGUGGAGGAUGGCUGGGUUCUUGUCGGAGAAUCGGCCUGUGCAGACACUUCGUUCUGUGUUGGGACGUCUGGAGCAGGCCUACUGUGGCACCAUUGGUUACGAGUACAUGCACAUACCGGACCGGGAAAAGUGCAACUGGCUGAGGGAGAGGAUCGAGACAGUUAACCCAAGGGAGUACACCUAUGAUCGUCGCCAGGUCAUGCUCGAUAGGCUCAUCUGGAGUACCCAGUUUGAGAAUUUCUUGGCACAGAAGUGGACCACUGCAAAGCGAUUUGGCCUAGAAGGUGCCGAGACACUGAUUCCUGGUAUGAAGGAGAUGUUUGACAGGGCAGCUGAUCUUGGUGUAGAGAGUAUUGUCAUUGGGAUGCCACACAGAGGCAGGCUCAAUGUCUUGGGAAACGUCGUACGUAAGCCCUUGCGACAGAUCUUCAGCGAGUUUAGUGGUGGUACCAAGCCUGUCAAUGAGGGGGAGGGUUUGUAUACAGGGACAGGUGAUGUCAAGUACCAUCUAGGAACUUCAUAUGAUAGGCCUACCAGGGGUGGGAAACAUAUCCAUCUAUCGUUGGUUGCAAAUCCAAGUCAUUUGGAAGCAGUCGAUCCUGUUGUUGCUGGGAAGACCAGAGCAAAGCAGUAUUAUUCUAAUGAUCUUGACAGGACCAAGAAUCUAGGGGUGCUAUUGCAUGGUGAUGGAAGCUUCUCAGGGCAGGGUGUUGUGUAUGAGACCCUGCAUCUGAGUGCACUUCCAAACUACACCACUGGCGGAACAAUUCAUCUUGUGGUCAAUAAUCAGGUUGCAUUCACUACUGAUCCGAUGUCAGGGAGAUCUUCACAGUAUUGUACAGACGUAGCCAAAGCAUUGGAUGCCCCAAUUUUCCAUGUGAACGGUGACGACUUGGAGGCUGUGGUUCAUACUUGUGAACUUGCUGCGGAGUGGAGGCAAACAUUUCAUUCUGAUGUAGUGGUGGAUAUUGUAUGCUACCGUCGAUUUGGGCAUAAUGAGAUUGACGAGCCCUCCUUCACCCAGCCUAAAAUGUACAAGGUGAUUAGGAACCACCCAAGUGCGCUUGAGAUAUAUCAAAACCAGCUGUUAGAAUCGGGGAAGAUCUCCAAGGAAGAUAUUGACAAGAUACACAAGAAGGUCAGCACCAUACUGAAUGAGGAAUUCAAAAAGAGCAAAGACGAUAUCCCCAACAAGAGGGACUGGCUUUCUGCUUACUGGACUGGGUUUAAGUCCCCAGAACAGAUUUCACGUAUCCGAAACACCGGUGUCAAGCCAGAGAUUCUAAAACGUGUUGGUGAAGCCAUGACAACACUGCCAGAAACUUUCAAACCUCACAGGGCUGUCAAGAAGAUUUUUGAUCUGCGUCGCCAAAUGAUUGAGACUGGGGAAGGCAUUGACUGGGCAGUGGGUGAAGCACUUGCUUUUGCAACUCUUAUAAUUGAGGGGAACCAUGUCAGGUUAAGUGGCCAGGAUGUUGAGAGAGGUACAUUCAGCCACCGCCAUUCUGUCAUCCAUGACCAAGAAACUGGGGAGCAGUAUUGCCCACUUGAUAAUCUUGUCAUGAACCAGAAUGAGGAACUAUUUACUGUAAGCAACAGUUCCCUGUCAGAAUUUGCUGUUCUGGGCUUUGAGUUGGGUUAUUCAAUGGAGAACCCAAACUCACUGGUUUUAUGGGAAGCACAGUUUGGUGAUUUUUCAAAUGGGGCUCAAGUGAUAUUUGAUCAGUUCAUUAGUAGCGGAGAGGCAAAAUGGCUCCGCCAGACUGGGCUUGUUGUCUGCCUUCCUCAUGGAUAUGACGGUCAAGGGCCUGAACAUUCUAGUGCGAGAAUGGAGCGCUUCCUUCAGAUGAGUGAUGAUAACCCCUAUGUUAUACCUGAGAUGGAUCCAACACUGAGGAAGCAAAUCCAGGAGUGCAACUGGCAGGUCGUGAAUGUCACCACUCCUGCGAACUAUUUCCAUGUGCUGCGUCGCCAGAUACACCGGGAUUUCAGAAAGCCUUUAAUUGUGAUGUCUCCAAAGAAUCUCCUUCGUCACAAGGACUGCAAAUCCAGUCUAUCUGAAUUCGAUGAUCUUGCUGGUCACCCUGGAUUUGAUAAGCAAGGGACACGCUUCAAGCGUCUAAUAAAAGACCGGAAUGACCAUAAGGACCUUGAGGAAGGAAUCAGACGUCUAGUUCUUUGUUCUGGAAAGGUGUACUAUGAAUUGGAUGAAGAAAGAAAGAAGUCGGAUUCCAAUGAUGUCGCGAUAUGUAGAGUUGAGCAGCUCUGUCCAUUCCCCUACGACCUCAUUCAGCGUGAGCUGAAGAGAUAUCCAAAUGCCGAGAUUGUUUGGUGCCAAGAAGAACCGAUGAACAUGGGGGCGUAUACCUACAUCAAUCCUCGCCUGCUGACCGCGAUGAGGGCGCUCGGUCGUGGCAGCAUAGAUGAUAUCAAGUACGUCGGAAGGGCCCCAUCUGCAGCCACAGCUACAGGUUUCUAUACUGUCCAUGUCCAGGAGCAAACCGAGCUCGUGAAGAAGGCGCUGCAGCGAGACCCCAUCAAGUCUCCGCUCUGAACAUGUAGAUUCUUUGCAUAGCCAUCAGAACUUCUGAUCUCCUACCAUGCAGAAAAACAACAGGUCUAAAUUACACCUCUUCAGCCAUUUGGUGAAUAAUCGUUGCGCAUGUGUGGUACCGCCCAUUAGAAAAGGUCUGAGGUCCAUUUUGAGUGCAUAAUUUUUUCCCGUCAAAGCUUUUUUGUCUACAUCCUUCUGUUUCUCUGGGUGCUAAGGUUAAACAAACUGUAUCCAGUUCUCCCUUUGCCAAUAAUGAAGUGUACCCAGUACUGAUGCAUGUAUGUCCUACGAGACGGUCCGUCCCUACUGCUGUGCCUAGCAUAUGAUUCCAGUCUGGCUCUCUGAAAUACUUGGAAAGAAACUGUACACAGGGACAGUUCAGUGAAGCAGCAC